ACACUUGCCGGCUGAGGAGAAGCGGCGGUGCGCGGGAGCCGGGCGCUGGGCGGGCUGGGCGCGAGCGCGCAGACUCCGGCUCCAGAGCGAGGCGCAGCGCGCGCCCCGCCCACCGCACGGCCGUGCCGCCCUUAAAGGGACCCGCGCCCGGCGGAGGUGGGGCCCGAAGGCGUGGCUUCGAGGGCGGCCCCUGGGAGGUCCACACGCUCCCAUUCUCGCUGUCUAUUGUCUCAGGAAGGAGCCUGGACCGCCUCCUCCAGCUGCAGCAGCGGAACACGGGGGCACCGUACACGCCUGGAACAGACCUGUGUCCUUAGAUAUUCAUUGAGUACUAACUGUGUCUGGCUGUGAGCCAAACAGACAUGGUUCCAGCCAUCGUGGAACUUAAAUUUUAGAAGGGGAGACAGACUAAAGGACAAAGGAAUCAAAGCAAGUUGAUGUGUACGGUGAAAGACUUUCUGCUUCUUGAGAAAAAGUAUCUUAAAACACAUGCGAUGAUAAAUGAGGGAUUAGCAAAACCAUCAGGGCAGGCUUCUCUAGAAGAUAAUACUUCAACAGAGACUAAUGUUGGGAAAGAAUGCAAAAGGACCAAAAAAAUAGCCGAUCGAAGUGGUAGGUACCUGUGGUCCCACGACUCAGGAGGCUGAGGCAAGAGGAAGGCUUAAGCCCAGGAGUCAGAAGCCAUCCUGGGCGCCUCACCAAGAAUGCAUUUCAAAAACAAAACAAAACAGAUAAAAGACUUUGUAGCAAGAACAGGGAAGUCAAAGGCCUGAACAAGGGAGUGAGGACUUGGGGAGGAGAAAGAAUACUAAUGAAAGCAUAAUUUUCAUUCAUACAUUUAUUUAGCAAAUUAUGAACAUUCCUAACGUGCUCAAUGGUGGUUGGUUAUUGAGCGGUGAACAAAGCACCUACCCUUGUGGAACCAGAACUGCGGAAAAUGGUGGAAGGAAGAGUGGGGCGAUCCAACUUAAGGUUGUUGCUGUAUUGUUCAGGCUGCCCCUGAACUCACUGUAUAGCCCAGGCUGGCCUCAAACUCGUGGCAAUCCUUCUGCCUCAGCCUCCCAAGUGCUGGAAUUACAAGUAUGUGCCACAACAUCCAGCCUAAAGGCCGAAGGAUCUGCACUGGAGCCAACAAAUGACACUCAAAGUAAAGAUCAGAGCUGCAGCCAUCCUCAAUGACAGUGAGGUCCUGAACUCCUCCAACAAUGAGAACAGCAGAGCUCAAAGGAGGAAAGCCAGCUUCUUCUCCAGAGAAUCAACAUCACACCAUCUUCCCCUCCAGUUCUCUCCUUAUGCUGUUGGCAACAAUCCUCAGGUGGGCCUUCCACAUCCAGCUCCACACUGAUUCCGUUCAGUUGGGUGUUCCAAGCGGACCAUUAGUUAAUCCACCACAUGAGAGGGUACUGUGAUAAUGAGUGAUUUUCUAGAAUGUUUUUCUAGAGACCUUGUAUGUGCCUAUUUAUGUGUUUUCUCUAUUUUCUAGAAUAUGUCAUGCAAAUGUUUUUCAUUCAUAAUAAAACAAUUA
This is a long non-coding RNA of Cavia porcellus (domestic guinea pig), 1525 nucleotides long. RefSeq lists it as uncharacterized. The transcript is spliced from 4 exons. The record is from RefSeq and is a predicted model, not a curated record. Lineage: Eukaryota; Metazoa; Chordata; Mammalia; Rodentia; Caviidae.